Molecule: non-coding RNA, 100 nt
Filed under: Propionibacterium acidifaciens
Lineage: Bacteria; Bacillati; Actinomycetota; Actinomycetes; Propionibacteriales; Propionibacteriaceae
Description: ALIL pseudoknot
Rfam family: ALIL pseudoknot
Source: RNAcentral
GCUUUUUUCGUAGCGGAACUCGACCGCCCCCAUGACGAGAUGAUCCGGUUCAUCGACGAACACCGUGACCGUUUCGGGGUCGAGGCCAUCUGCCGCGUGC